Molecule: ribosomal RNA, 440 nt
Filed under: uncultured bacterium
Lineage: Bacteria
Description: partial 16S ribosomal RNA
Rfam family: Bacterial small subunit ribosomal RNA
Source: RNAcentral
CCUACGGGAGGCAGCAGUAGGGAAUAUUGCUCAAUGGGGGAAACCCUGACGCAGCAACGCCGCGUGGAGGAUGAAGGUUUUCGGAUUGUAAACUCCUUUUGUUAGAGAAGAUAAUGACGGUAUCUAACGAAUAAGCCCCGGCUAACUCCGUGCCAGCAGCCGCGGUAAUACGGAGGGUGCAAGCGUUACUCGGAAUCACUGGGCGUAAAGAGCGCGUAGGCGGGAAAGCAAGUCAGAUGUGAAAUCCUAUGGCUUAACCAUAGAACUGCAUUUGAAACUGUUAUUCUAGAGUAUGGGAGAGGGAGGUGGAAUUCUUGGUGUAGGGGUAAAAUGCGUAGAGAUCAAGAGGAAUACUCAUUGCGAAGGCGACCUGCUAGAACAUAACUGACGCUGAGGCGCGAAAGCGUGGGGAGCAAACAGGAUUAGAUACCCGAGUAGUC